AGAGAGUAACGUUGUUGUAUUGAACGGGCAACGUUUGUGACACUUUGAGGUUUCUACUCGGCUCUCCCAUGAGGGGUUGAGCUAGCCUCAUGUGAGCUAGCGGGUAGCUACUUUUGAAUUCGAGGCAUAGUUUUCUUCAGUUCUGUGUCGCCUUGGACAUCAAGAGUAAGUUAACUUGGCUAUCUGUUAAGUGUGAAGUGUGUUCACGUUUCUUUAACAUCGUCGAUGUAACGUAGGUUGUCGGUUUCUGUGUUGAAAGAGCCAACAUUAGCUUACUUUACACAUGUUAGCCCAGGUAAUGUUUAGCUAACGCUCGUGUUAUAGGUUCAUUAGUGGCAGGUGGGUUAAGACACCUGAGGGGUCACGUGCUACACACUUCAUCUAAUAACCACGAUUUUAUUGAAGUGCUUUGAAACUGGUUCCAAGCAGACAUGUAGACAAGCUCACAAAUACCGGAGCGGUCAGUCCGGACAGUCACGUGACCAGACACGUUAUUGUACGUGUCUGUUCACGUGACGUCGGGACUCUGUUCACGUGACCGCUAUAAACUGCGCUGUGUCAUAUGCUGUCGGGACUGCUGUUCACGUGACGCUCUUUACGUGAUGCUGUUGCCGUGGUCGGGACUCUGUUCACGUGACUGUUGUUAACAUGACGCUUAUAACUGCGCUGUGUCAUAUGCUGUCGGGACUCUGUUCACGUGACGCUCUUUACGUGAUGCUGUUGACGUGGUCGGGACUCUGUUCACGUGACGCUCUUAACUUGAUGCUGUUGACGUGGUCGGGACUCUGUUCACGUGACGCUCUUAACUUGAUGCUGUUGACGUGGUCGGGACUCUGUUCACGUGACGCUCUUAACUUGAUGCUGUUGACGUGGUCGGGACUCUGUUCACGUGACUGUUGUUGACAUGACGCGUAUAACUGCGCUGUGGCGGGACAUGACAGCUCACAGCUCCUCAGAAGCUCCGUGAGCUGUCCAGUGAGGGGAUGGUUUCAUGAUCAAAUCUUCAUUUACUGUCCACAUUAUCAGAUGAGGACGUCACCAAAGAGUGUCCUUUGAGUCAAUGUUUACAUUUAUGUCAUUAAGAAGUAGAACAUUUAGUUACCCAUGAUCGGAUACAAGUUGUCAAGGAUAAACGGAAAGAGAAUCAUGUCAGCCCACAGACAACCGGUUGACCUGUGAGUCUUCAAGCAGUAAUGAUGACUCCUGCCUUAAGUUCCAGUUUCCUGAACAUCAUGUCGGCAUGAGAUUCUGUCCCCACCUGUCUUCAGUCUGGACCCAAUGAUUCGGACACCAGUCUUGUCGAGGCUAAAUUGAGAUCAAGCAUUGACGGAAAACACCCAAAGUCCAUCAC
Pseudoliparis swirei is the source of this 1351-nucleotide long non-coding RNA. RefSeq lists it as uncharacterized. The record is from RefSeq and is a predicted model, not a curated record. Lineage: Eukaryota; Metazoa; Chordata; Actinopteri; Perciformes; Liparidae. The transcript has 3 exons.